This 23-nucleotide small nuclear RNA is filed under the name Arabidopsis thaliana (thale cress). RNAcentral's name for it is "snRNA_05582". Lineage: Eukaryota; Viridiplantae; Streptophyta; Magnoliopsida; Brassicales; Brassicaceae. The record is from RNAcentral.
UGAUUAAUGUUUUUAAAGUGCCU